UUGGAAUCAGCUCUGCUUUUGCUGGGUGUACUUUCUUGUCAAUGGGUCAGCAUCAAUUUUGACCAUUGGAUAAAGUCAUUGGGAAUGUAGCAUCUUUAGAUGUGUUAUAGCCUGGUGAUGCAUACGGUGGUUGGGAUUGAGGAAUUCAGCACGCCACCAGGCCAGGUUUCGACCACGUUCGUGCUUAGGAUGCUGGCAUAAUGGCUUUAAUUGACCCGUCUUGAAACACGGACCAAGGAGUCUAACAUAUCUGCGAGUGUUUGGGUGAAAACCCAUGUGCGUAAUGAAAGUGAAAGUUGAGAUCCCUUCUCAAGGGAGCAUCGACGCCCGGACCAGACCUUUUGUGACGGAUCCGCGGUAGAGCAUGUAUGUUGGGACCCGAAAGAUGGUGAACUAUGCCUGAAUAGGGUGAAGCCAGAGGAAACUCUGGUGGAGGCUCGUAGAGAUUCUGACGUGCAAAUCGAUCGUCAAAUUUGGGUAUAGGGGCGAAAGACUAAUCGAACCAUCUAGUAGCUGGUUCCUGCCGAAGUUUCCCUCAGGAUAGCAGAAACUCAUAUCAGAUUUAUGUGGUAAAGCGAAUGAUUAGAGGCCUUGGGGUUGAAACAACCUUAACCUAUUCUCAAACUUUAAAUAUGUAAGAACGAGCCGUCUCUUGACUGGACUGCUCGAUGAUUGAGAGUUUCUAGUGGGCCAUUUUUGGUAAGCAGAACUGGCGAUGCGGGAUGAACCGAACGCGAGGUUAAGGUGCCGGAAUUCACGCUCAUCAGACACCACAAAAGGUGUUAGUUCAUCUAG
RNAcentral lists this ribosomal RNA (795 nucleotides) under uncultured Basidiomycota. RNAcentral's name for it is "LSU rRNA". It matches the Rfam family "Eukaryotic large subunit ribosomal RNA", at positions 450 to 1236 of the family's 3401-position model. The record is from RNAcentral. Lineage: Eukaryota; Fungi; Basidiomycota.